GUUCGCCUUUGCAAGAUGCUUUGAACCAGAGAACCACAUGGGUCCAUGAGCAAUUGAAAGGAGGAGAGUAAGGGACGGAUACAGGUGGAAGGCCAUAUGUGUUACCGAAGUUGUGGGUGAAUAAGGGAUGAGAACAAGAUGGAGUUAGGUUAGUGAAGGGUAAUGGGCGAGUGACUUCGAUGUAUGGCUGUGGAUUACUGGUGUGGGGAAGAGUGUGUUUGAGGAAAUGCGAAUGGUGGUGUGGUAGUGAAGAAGAAAAUGGGGCAGUAAAGUUGAAGAUGAAGAAGAAGAAGAGGAGAAUAGUAGUAUCAAUGGAGGUCCGCAUUUUGGUAGCAAAUGAAGGAAUGGGUUGAGUAGUUUGGGUUAGCACGAGAG
RNAcentral lists this unclassified non-coding RNA (375 nucleotides) under Hevea brasiliensis (rubber tree). Lineage: Eukaryota; Viridiplantae; Streptophyta; Magnoliopsida; Malpighiales; Euphorbiaceae. The record is from RNAcentral.